Molecule: ribosomal RNA, 257 nt
Filed under: uncultured Pseudomonas sp.
Lineage: Bacteria; Pseudomonadati; Pseudomonadota; Gammaproteobacteria; Pseudomonadales; Pseudomonadaceae
Description: partial 16S ribosomal RNA
Rfam family: Bacterial small subunit ribosomal RNA
Source: RNAcentral
CGGCGGACGGGUGAGUAAUGCCUAGGAAUCUGCCUGGUAGUGGGGGACAACGUUUCGAAAGGAACGCUAAUACCGCAUACGUCCUACGGGAGAAAGCAGGGGACCUUCGGGCCUUGCGCUAUCAGAUGAGCCUAGGUCGGAUUAGCUAGUUGGUGAGGUAAUGGCUCACCAAGGCGACGAUCCGUAACUGGUCUGAGAGGAUGAUCAGCCACACUGGAACUGAGACACGGUCCAGACUCCUACGGGAGGCAGCAGCC